RNAcentral lists this ribosomal RNA (497 nucleotides) under uncultured bacterium. Its description in RNAcentral is "bacterial SSU rRNA". It matches the Rfam family "Bacterial small subunit ribosomal RNA", at positions 899 to 1397 of the family's 1533-position model. The record is from RNAcentral.
ACUCAAAGGAAUUGACGGGGGCCCGCACAAGCAGUGGAGUAUGUGGUUUAAUUCGAAGCAACGCGAAGAAUCUUACCAAGGAUUGACAUGCAACUGAAGAUAAUGGAAACAUUAUUGUCUUUCGAGACAGUUGUGCAGGUGGUGCAUGGUUGUCGUCAGCUCGUGUCGUGAGAUGUUGGGUUAAGUCCCGCAACGAGCGCAACCCCUAUGAUUAGUUGCCAGCGAGUAAAGUUGGGCACUCUAAUCAGACUGCCGUGAAUAACGCGGAGGAAGGUGGGGAUGAUGUCAAAUCAUCAUGCCCUAUAUAUCUUGGGCUACACACGUACUACAAUGGCCGUAACAGAGGGAAGCGAAGUAGUAAUACGAAGCGAAUCCCGAAAAGCGGUCUCAGUUCGGAUUGAGGACUGAAAUUCGUCCUUAUGAAGCCGGAAUUGCUAGUAAUGGCAGGUCAGCAUACUGCCGUGAAUACGUUCCCGGGCCUUGUACACACCGCCCGU